CCUUAGCAUCGCCGGCAUCGCCAUCAUCGCCGGCAUCGCCAUCAUCGCCGGCAUCGCCGGCAUCGCCAUCGUUUUGAAUAAAAAACGGCAAAAGAAAACAGGUUCUUACGGUGUAAAUCUGGAUUCCCAAAAGCAUCACAUUACAACAGAACAUGAUUUGGAGAUGAAUGAAACAAAAUCUAAUUUGAUCUCGACAGUAUAAAUGACUGAUGCUGGCUGAUGACUCUGGUUUACACAUUAACAGACAUUGGAAGAAAAUCAUGGAAAAGUUAGGAGAUAAAUGUCCUACAUUUGUACUGAAAUUUCUGUAGUGAAAAUAGACCCCUCUCAGGUAACUGCUGUUACUUUCGCUACAACUUCUUUCCUCUGUUGAGCUGCAUUUGAAUAAAGCAGAAAGACCGGAGAGAUCAUUGCUCUUGCCCUUGAAAAUGGCUUCUAAAGCAAGCAAGGCAGUUUGGCAGCAUCAAAAUUACUUGCUCUUCUGAACAUGCAGCUGGUUGCUUAUUUGGUCUCUCCAUAGUGCUAAACGUUUCCCCUUCAAGAACAUAGUCACCAUCAGAGCAUGGCAUGGUUUGGAUUGUGAGUUGUGGCUGUAACUGCAGACAGCAAGAGAGCCUCUUCAGAUUCCUUCUUACAACCUCCCAUCAUGGAGUAUGUAUUACUCUUUAAACACAAAUUUAAAGAUGACAGACACCAGGUGGAAUGUCGUAGAUUCUUCAUAAAAACAUCCAUCCUGGGUCAGACCAAUGGUCUAUCUAGCUAGGUGCUUCAAAGGGAAGGAGCAGAACAGGGCAGUUAUCGAGUGACCCAUCAUCCCCUGUCAGCCAGUCCCAGCUUCUGGCAAUCCGAGACUAGGGACACUCAGAGCAUGGGGUUGUAUCCCUGGCCAUCUUGGCUAUCGAUCUUGGGUAUCACAUUUGUUUCCUUGCAAUCCACUAGCACUUUCUUAUAAGAAGUAAGCAGUAAGUUCAAAAGUGUCCUCCUGAGAAGUUCUCCGGUGGUUUAGUGCCUACGUUAUUUUUAUAUGUUAGUUGUCAAAAACUGUCUUUGUAGAUCUUAAAAUAAGCUUUUUUUUAAUGUUCAGGAAAUGUUUCUCACUGCUGUUGAGAGGGGGUGUUUAUAAUCAAACACUUUGUCAUCUGUUUUAUAAGAUUUAAAGCUUUAAAAAGUUAUUUACAUCUUUUGUGUGACCGCAAGCUGCUUUGAGUUUUAUUUAGCAAUAAGAAAUCUUUUCCACAAAUGAAGAAACUAUAAUUGAAGAUGUGUGCUAUAUACUAUGUGUUAUUUGGAAUAGGCCUUUUUCUUAAAUAAAAGGGAUACUGAAUAAAGA
This is a non-coding RNA of Chrysemys picta bellii (western painted turtle), 1330 nucleotides long. NCBI's taxonomy places the organism in Eukaryota, Metazoa, Chordata, Testudines, Emydidae. The record is from RefSeq and is a predicted model, not a curated record.